This is a non-coding RNA of Pan troglodytes (chimpanzee), 151 nucleotides long. It matches the Rfam family "Metazoan signal recognition particle RNA". From Rfam's summary of the family: The signal recognition particle (SRP) is a universally conserved ribonucleoprotein. The record is from Rfam. NCBI's taxonomy places the organism in Eukaryota, Metazoa, Chordata, Mammalia, Primates, Hominidae.
GCCAGGCGUGGUGGCGGAUGCCUGUAGUCCCAGCUACUUGGGAGGCUGAGGCAGGAGAAUCGCUUGAACCCAGGAGGCAGGGGAGCUUGCAGUGAGCAGAGAUCGUGCCACUGCAAUCCAGCCUGGGUGACAGAGCGAGACUCCGUCUCAA